GAAAAGAAGCUAGCAAGCUACUUUGCCUCAGUUAUUCCUGUCAGAACACUGGACGGGAAAAAACCUGCCCUUGGCACCACCGCACCGUCUCUAUAGCCAGAGCGCGCCGGCGUUCUUGAGCAUGGGCACGAGCUCGCCGCCGAGGUGGAGGGACAUGAUCCUGUUGGUGCCGCCGACGAGCUUGCCUCCGAUGAAGACGGCAGGGACGGCAGGGCCCCUGCCGCCGAGCAUCUUGAGCAGGGCGCGCUCCAUCUCCUUGCCCCUGGGGUCGCUGUCCAGCUCGUGCACAAGAGCGUUCACGCUCAGGUCCUGCAUUAGCUUCGUCACCGUGUGGCACAUGCAGCAGGAGCUCAGCGUGAACACCACCACUGCCCUCUCUGAUGCCAGCUUCAUCACGCGGUCCAUUUGCUAUGCUUUGGUUUCUUGGCUGCAAGAAGUGACCUCUCUAGGUCUCUCUCUCUCUCUCGCUCGCUCGCUCGCUUCUCGUUCUCUCUCUAGCUCUCGAGCUCUGUCAAGCUUCUGUUGAUGCACGUGGAGAGAUGAGUGUGUAUGGAUGGGUGGUUUGGGAGAACAGGGUAUGGCUGCCUUUUAUAGAGUUUGCAAGCAGGGGCUAUAGGGUUUCCAUAACGGGUCCGGGUCUUGCUAGAGCUGCAAGUAAGAUCGAGCAGAGAGUGUGAUGAGCUGGUCUGGGAGUUUCUGGAAAAAACAAAAUGUUCCAAGGAAUCUAUAAGCUGGUAUACGGCAGCACAGUGGCUACUAUGGCCAGCUAGGACCAUGCAUGCAUGACACAUCUUUAUUUGACUUUGAGAACGAUAUAACUAAUAUAAUAAGUUCAAGGCCCCACAUUUUGCAAUUUGAAUCCAAAAAGCUCUGUGGUUUGCUCAUUGAAAAGGAUGGUAUACAUGCAUGAGAUCAAUAUAUGUUUGGAUAACGCACGAGCCGUCUUUUCAAUAGGGCCCAAGGAAUAUAUCUCAGAACGCUAAGGUUGUGUUGACCUACUGAGAAUAUCAUAUGGAUGCAUAUGGCCUAUGGGCAUGCAGCUGUACCCCCAUUUUCUUGUCAUGGGAUAUAACACUUUAUUUCAUACAUCUCCUGUCAUGGUUUUAAUAGAUAAAUGAAGUUUCUGACAAAACAGUGUCUUGUUACUGGUGUAUAACUUCACCUAGAAGCAGUGUUCACCCUUUCGGAAUAGGAGAAAAUACUGGAGGUGGCCGGUAGGGCUGUUAUGCCAGUUUUCGGCCAAAAUUUUCAGAAUUUGGACAAAAUUUAACUGGAAUUUGAGGAUUGAAGUGAAUUCCGGUCGAAAUACUACCGGUAUAUUUAUCGUUCACCACCGAUAGGACCGAAAUUUGCCAAAAUUUGGUGAAAACCGACUGGUAGGUAUCUUUUUUUGCGAAAAAUGUGUAUGAUAUUGAUAUCUUCUUAUAGCCCUCGUCUGGAAGGUAUAUAUGAGGUAUGAGGUAAAAGAUGGACACGUGCAUUGACAAGAAUUUUGGGAAAAUUUUCCCAACCUUGGACAGGAGCUAGUAAGUCUAUCAGUUCGUGAGGUCCCAUUUCAUUUCUUUUUCUUUUUCUCGAGGAUAUGAAGGAGACUAUAUGCACUUGAUACCACCGGGAUUUUCCGGUUCCCAAUGUCAACCAUCCAAUUACUGCUGGGUUUUUGAUCCCCUAAGUUGUGAUACCUCGUGUUUUCUCCUUUCUUGAAGGAACAUUUCUUCCCAUUUGACAAAUGGCAAUGUAGGAUUGCUGGACGGAUAAUGUACAUAGCUUUGUAGUACAGGUUGGAUUGUGAUGGCUCGAAUCCAUAGCAACAAGGAUAAUGUACUGGACAUGACUACGUGAACAGAUGCUCCAUCUCGUCAUCUGUUCUGCGUGAUGAUCGAUAUUAUUCGCUCAAGUGAAGAGGAGAGCAAUUUCGCCAGAAAUUCCCAUGCACAUUGGUUCCCCUUGUAUGUUUUCUCAAAAUACGCAAGUUUGCGUAAGCCGGGAAUUUUGCUGGAAUAUCACUCCGGAACUGUGAAAGUCACCUUGUCCCAAACGGCCGACGACGAUGGGGAAUACCACUAUGGUACGGCCAGUGGUUCAUCUUACGACACAUGGAACCGAUUCCAGCUGGCUGAUCAAGCCAAUUUCGAAGUGUAGCCAGCCAGCCCUCAUCGCCUCGCUGACCGACCUUAUCUGCGGCAUGGAAUCCAACCACCUUGCACGCGGCUUUUCUCAGCAGGUUGAGCUGCCGCUGCUUUGUAAACCAGCCUGACCUUAUCAGAUAUGAGGCGUUGCGAUGCCACGAUCCGACAAUGCAAUCUUGGCUUUUCAUACUCUUGCUGAAUCCUUUUCCUGCAAAAAUCUUCCAUAAGCUAAAGCUAAGAAUGAAGGUUAGAUGAAAAGAUUCCGCGGCACUAUUGCUAUCUACCUGUAUGAUUCUUCAGGCAUCUGAAGAAAGUCAGACAUUAUCUGAACUUUUCUCUAGUUUUUUUUUCAUUUUUUCCAUGCAUGACGCAAACAUCCGGCACAAGCAUGGAAGAUUGGAUAUUUGGAUAGAGAUAUUCUUAUACCCAAUAUCUGCGUUGAUAGUUCUCACCUGGAAAGAAAGGAUGGAGAGAGAAAAAGCUAGUGUUCUGUAGAGCAAUCUCCAUUGCUCCAGAAUCCUUUGCUCCUUCUCCGUGUUUUUGCUUACUUCUUGACUCCUCAACUUCUCAAGGGGCACUUGUGGCUCCAAUUCCAAUAAGAUGGACUUUACCACUCUUGGCUCUUGCAAGAGGGAUGUUAGUUUACCUCUUAUCAUUUCAGGUGAAGGAAAUUCCAAAGUUUAAUUAAGUGCAAAUAACCACAGCUUGAUUCAUCUUCAAGUUGUCCAGUUCGGUGAACCCACUGCAAUUUGUUCAACUACAUCUCCUUUUUUUUAAUGUUCUACCGAGGGGAGAGAAUCCCCCACCUGAUUCAUUGAAAUGGUCCAUAACAGCCCGCAUGAUAGUGUUCACAUAAGGGUUACUUCGUAAGGUUUACAUUGUUGUAGUAAACAAAGUACACCAUGCAUCACAUAUGCUAGUUUCUGAUUCCUUCAUCCAGCAGUGCCACGGCACCGCGUCUGCCUUGCAGUGUCAGGUGCUCGUCGCGGAAGACAGCUCCAUUCCUUCUUUUCUAGAGCUGCCAACAGCACAGCAGAACCAUGGUUUCAAAGUGCAUGCUAGGUAUAUGAGCUGGGCGCGGUAGCUCAUCGAGCAUUGUGGUGGUGACGCCCUCAGGCAGUUCAAACUAAAGUGCCGGCCAGAAAGCUUGGGCAAAGGAGCAUUGGAAGAUGAUAUGUGUGGCUGUCUCCUCCGUUGCACCACACACCUCGCGGGUAGCUUCUGUUACCACAUUCUUCUUCAGGAGGUUGGCUCGGCACUGUACUCGGUUUUGGACAAGAAGCCAUGCAAAAAAAUUGCACUCGAGGCAGUGCUCUAUUCUUCCGGAUGAAUUUGGAUAUGGAGGAGUUAGUGCCUUGGGCUGCCAGUAGUAGUUUGUACAAUGGCCCCGUGUGCAGCUUCCCUCUCGGUGUCGCAAAUGGGCAGAGGUGCAUGUCUUCAUCGACUGAGAGGCUAACAGCGUCCCUGAUCCAGCACACAACAUCAAGCUCUUGAUGGGCCAUGGGUGUCAUGCAUGGCACCAGGUCUGGUUCCAAACCAAGGUCAAAGACUUCCUGGACUGUGUGAGUGGAUCGCUUGCAGUGACUCAAGAAAGUAGGAACUUGUCAGCUAGGCACUCUUCGCCGUGCAAAACAUCGAACCAGAAGGAUGUUGAGCGGUCAUUCCCAAUUUCCACCAUGGUGAUGGCUCGGUACAGUGGCAGAAGCUCCUGAAGUGCGUCACAGUGUUAGCCCAUGAUUUCCCCUUCCAGACUAGCAAUACUAGCGUGCCGGUGCACCCAUGUCGCCCACGACGAGCCUUGCAGAUGAUGCAGCCAGUGUAGAAGCUUUAAGAGAAGACAGGAGUUCUAUACACUCAGGUUGGUGAUGCCAAGCUCACCCUAAUCACGAGUCUCAUUGAAAGAGCAUCUAGGCCCCUUGUGGGUUUUGGUGAUUAAAUGACAAAAGCAAUUAAAGGACUAAUGAGCUUGUUGGGCUUUAGCAAUGUUUUACUAGAAAUGAAAAGGUCAAGCUCAUGUCAUAUGAAGCAUGCAAAAGUAAAGAAAUGACAAGCAAAGAUUGAAUUGAGUGAAAGAGACAAAGAUGGAAGUGAAAUUAUAGUAUCUCAUUGGUUUAUUUGCUUGUAUAAUCAAAGAAAGUUGAAAAUUGCAUGAGGAUUGAUCAAGAUUACAACAAUAAUAUAAGUGAUCAAGAGCAAUGGUGAAUUGAAUGGAAUUUCAAUCAUAGGUUGCUUGGUCACAUGGAUGGUAUUCCUUAUUAUCAUGAAAGAAGAUAUUUGACCAAGUACUUAGUAUUUCAAGGAAGGUUAAGAUAAAACAUUACUUGGUCAUAUGUUUGUAUAAGAAUGAUAUUCAAGUAUGAAUCAAGUUCAUUUAUUGAAGAAGUGAAUUUCAAAUGGGUAUUCAUUGUUGAUGCAAAAAAAAGCUUAACUUGAGAUGGCAAGAUAGGGUGAAGAAGUCAAACAAGGACUUAGCUACGAGGUACUAAGCAAGGGUGAAGGGAAAGUGGUGACUUGGGCCGACGAACCUUUGCAAGGGUGAAGAAGCUAGUACUUAGGAGAACUUUGAGGAACUAAUCUAGCCAUGAGGAGUUAAGAAAUUCAAAGUAUCAAAUAAUUGUUGAAUCAAAAAUUGAAGUGAAUUGAGGAUGUCAAGUUGAUUCUUGAUCAUAUAUGAUGAUGAACCUCAAAGACACUAGCUCAAGGAGGAUAAUGCUCAAGAAAGAGAAAAAAUAAAUACUUGAAACCCCCUCAAAGUAUGAUUUUGAAGAAAAGCGGCAUGAUGAAGAUAUUCAAGCUAAAGUGAUUUAUAUUGUAUUUAUUCUUUGAUCUUCAGUAUAGGUAAUGCCGUACUAUCAAGAGGGAUGCAACGUGGAUAGCUUCGCUUGUAUCUCGGUGCUCAAACCUAACAUUCCAAGUACUCACAUGAGAGAAACACUUAUCUUAAUACUUGCACUGGGUGGUAUUGGAGCUUGUUUUUAGUCGGAAUGGAUGCUCCUCUGAAUAAGCUUUCCAUCGAGUCCAAGAUCAUCGAAUUGGGAGCCUGGAGUGAAAAGUUAUGGCCUUUCCUCUUCAGUGACUUGUGCUGUCUAGUGGACUUUCGGAAAAUUCCGAAAAUUUUCCGAAGGUUCGGAAAUUUCUGGAGAUUUUUUGGAAAUUUCUGGAAAUUUGAACCUAAUGGCUAGAUUUGGGUUUCGAAAGUUUUCGGAGGUUUUUUUUUGAAGAAUCCGAAGAUUCCGGAAGUUUCCGAAGGUUUUUUCGGAAUAUUCCGGAAUCUGACAGCCCAACGGCUAGUUUUUGGGGGAGGGGUAUUUAUACCCCUCCUCCUCUCCCUUUUGAGGCUGCUAGUUCACCACACGAAAAAUAUAUCUCCACAGCCCUUUUGAGCCCUCCCAUCUCUAGUAUUGCAAGAGAUUUGAGAAGAGAAGAGAUUUGGGGUGAGGGAUUGAAAGAUUGAGUGAAAGUGAGCACAUCCAUCCUUCAGCAGUCGAGUUCAUAGCAAUUGAUCUUCAUGGCAUCUGUUACUCUUGGAGGACAAGCCUCCUAGAUGGCUAGGCGUCGCUCGGUGAGCACCCAAGCUUGUGGUGUGCCGCGGGAAGUUUGUGAAGGCUUCGAUUUCGCCUCCGCAAGGGAAGAAAUCAAGAAGCCUCAUCGUAGGUCCUUUCACUCAUGAACCUUUUCCCAAGCCACGAGGCAGGAAGCUCCGGUUUCUUGUUGCUCCCCAACCCAUAGGAAGCUUCGUCGUCUCUGAUCAAUUUUGGAGAUGAACCCAGGAGGCAGCGGGAUAGCGCACAUAAGGUAUAUGAGCUGGCUGUCUAGAAUGGAGUUGAUCAGGACAGUGUGACCCAUCGGGUUCAGGAGGAAGGAUUGCCAUCCUACCAAGGUAUCUGUCAGCUCGCUCAAUGUAGGGGUCAAAAGUAUUGAUCCGUAGCUUUGCACAAGAGAGUGGCAAGCUUAGGUACGGUUGAGGGAAACCUUCCUGUCAGCAGCCAAGAGCCUGAACACGCAGGGAGGCAGUGUGGUCACAAAUAUGCAUCGGCACUGUAGUGGUCUUCGUGAAAUUGAUCAUCAGUCUAGUGGCCUUGGAGAAUUGAUCCAACAGAGCUUGUAGCCGGAUGACAUCCUGCAGUUCUCCCUGAAGGAGUAUGAGUGUGUCGUCUGUGUAUUGCAAUAUGGGACAUGCACUUCCUUCUACGAGUGGGUGAUGAACACAACCAUCCUGCUUGAUCAUGGCCUAAAGAACAUUGGCAACCAACAGGAAAAGGUAUGGUGACAUGGGAUCACCUUGGUGCAGCCCCCGACGACAUGGAAUCCAUGGACCAGGGGAACCAUUGACCAAAACUGCUAUCAGGGAGGUGUCGAGUAUAUGUCGAACCCAUGCACACCAUUGGUCACUAAACCCCCAAGCAGCCAUGAUCCUUAUCAGUCCUUCCCAAUUCAUGAUACCAAACGCCUUGGCGAAGUCAAGUUUGAGGACAAGAGUUGACCUGCACAAGUUCUGUGGCAUAGACGAAAUUUUCCGAGAUCGACCUUCCCUUGAGAAAACCAAUUUGAUCAAGGUCAAUCAUCAUCACAAUUUUGGCCUGUAACCAAGAGGUAAAGAUCUUCACCAAUAUCUUGACACAACAAUUCUACAAGCAUAUUGCGCGAAAAGCAUCCGCUGUGAAAGCACUAGGUUUCUUUGGCACUAGCACCAUGUAGGCUCUGUUAAUUCUCGCCAAUAGCACUAGGUUUCUUUGGCACUAGCACCAUGUAGGCUCUAUUAAUUCUCGCCAAUUCUACCUCCCCUCUAUAGAAUGCAUGGAGGAAUGCCAUGACCUCAGGUUUUACCAUUGCCCAAGAUGCUUUGUAGAAGCUAGGACCAAAACCAUCAGGCCUAGGCGCAUUGUUCCGAUUCAUUACGCACAUGGCCAGGAGUGCUUCUUCCUCUGUGAAUGGGGCAGUUAGCGCAUUAGAGGCUUUCUGGCUGUCCUGAUACAGAGCGACGACAUCAAACUCCCAAUCAAAGACACCUGCAGUGCCCAUGAUCCCCUUGUAGUAGCUUGGGAGUGCAAUAGUUUUCCCCUGGUGAGACAUUACUAGUACACCGUCUACCUCGAUUCCUUUGAUAUGAUUCCGAAACAUGCGUUGGGUAGCACGGCCAUGAAAGAAUUGUGUAUUUGCAUCCCCUUCUUUGAUUGCAUGGUGUUUACCUCAUUGCUUCAAGUAUGCGGCCCUUUCCUUGAUGUCCAUGGCCAAGCAAUCCUGAGAGAGUGCCUAAACCUACAGUUCUUCAUAAGACAAGCAUCAGUGUUCCUUCAGUGUGUCAAAAAGCAAAAUUAUGAAUUUGUAGUUUUGGAUUAGAGCUAGAGGCAUCCUGUUAUGCCUGUUCCAAACCUUUGCCGCAGCUCGAGUGUCCUUGAGGCAGCUGAUGAGAUGGCCAGUAGCGUCGGCCUAAGGGUAGGCCAUGGACCACGUAGGGAGAAUGGUAGGUAGGAAGUUUUGGUUGUGCAAUCAUGCAUUUUCAAAGCGGAAGACGAUCACUUUCAAGAUGGUAGCGUAGAGCGUGAUGAGCAAGGGGGUAUGAUUUGAGGUUGGGAGAAGGAGGGAUGUGAUUGUUGUGUUGGGGUAGGCUGCACAUUGCGCAGGGUUCGCAAAGACCCAAUCAAGACAUCAAAGGGUGGGUGUGUCACGUUUGUUGGACCAGGUAUAGAGGCGAUCAAGGAGUGGUAUUUCAGCAAGACCUAGGUUGUCAAGGGUUUCAUUGAAGUUGUGGCAAAGCCGGGUGUCGACACGACCAUUGUUCUUGUCUUCGGUUGACCGACAAAGGUUGAAGUCCCCGGUGAGUAGCCAGGGGGUAGUGACAUGCUGAGGGAGCUCAUUGGGGUUUUGUAGGAAAACAGGCAUGACCAUUGUUGUUGUCUUUGGCUGGCUGACAAAGGUUGAAGUCCUCGGUGAGUAGCCAGGGCCAUUGACAUGCUGAGGGACCUCAUUGAGGUUUUGUAGGAAAACAGGCGAGUCACAGUGGUCGGAUGGAGUGUAGAUGUUUGUGAUGGUGAUAGUGUGGUUAGAUGUGGUGGAGGCGAGCACCGUGGUGAGGGUGUGGCGCCUGGUGAUGAAGGAGUGGAGCAGGAAGGUUGAGCUAAUUCCCCCAUAGGAUCCCGUGGCAGAGAUGAAGUGGAAGGUGUUAAGGGAGGGGCGGGGAGGAAAAGCUUAGUAGAGAGAUCGUUAAUGUCUUGGAGUUUGGUUUCUUGAAGACAGGUAACACAAGGAGCAGCAGAUAUGAUUGCAUCACACACCACACCGCACUUAAUCGGGUCACCCAAACCGCACACAUUCCAUGACAGAAGCUUAAACGAUCUAAAAGCAGUACCCAUAGCUAAAAUAGCAUAGCACCAGCAAGUAAAGCAAUGCACAUGCAAAACAAAGAUGGACUGCACAAAUGACCCAUGAAAAGACAGUGCAGAGGCAACAAAUUAACAAGAACGCUUAAAAAAUGACAACAAGCAUGAGAAUUAAGCAAUAACAACAGGUCCAGUUCAGUUAAAAGUAGCAGACGACAAAUGGACAUGUCACACCAUUGAGGAACCCAGGCCGCAGAGCAAGGAGUAGGCAUGAAGCGCCUGGCCUUGCCGCUCGAACUACCAUAGACAUAGAGACAACAGAUGCUAAUGACGAACACGGACACGCAGCAGAGGGACACGGAAUGUAGCAAACAAUUCUCCUCGUUGCAGAACCUGAAGUGUAGGGUUAUCAUUCAAUAGUUGGCAGCACCCCUCCCCCGACAGCAUUGGCGGUCGCAGUGCCCAGAUCGGUAGAGCCCAUCAUCUUGCACAAGUCGCAAUGGAGAUGGGCAACUUGGUGCCCAAGAGGAUGUUGCACUUCUCCACGUGAGUCUGCAAAGCGGUAGAGCAAGUGGAUAGGGAGUUCUUCAUAGCAGCACCUUGUGUGGCCUUGUCUGCCACCGCGACGUACUUCCCGUUGGCCAUCACCACCAGAUGUGAACUCUGGCGCUAAGGUUUUGCAUCCUUAGUGUUCUUGUUCCUUUGGUGUCUUCCACGGAUCGGGGAGCGCAUGGCGGACACAGCGCCAUUAGUGGUUAGAGGAGAAACAAUAGCAAUGUUUGCAUUGGUGUCACAGUACUAGCAGCAGGGGACAGUGGCGGUGAGGCAGGAGGUAGUGGAGCAGAACACUUCAUGCAAGCAAGCAUCACAGUGAGGUGGGAGCAGGUAGGCAGCCGUGGCAGGUGGUGCUUGGGGGUGCGGUGGAGCAUGCAGCGGUGGCACAGCGGGCAGCCCAUUACCAGCAGCAUUUGGUGGUGAAGGAGGGGAGAGUGCUGUCCUAGCAAGGCCAGCAGGUGGGUUGCCGGGUGCGUGCGGAGAUGGAGGAGGUAGCCCAAAGAAUGGGAUGAGGUUUCCAUCAGCGUCCUUCUGACCAUUGCGGUGCUAAACACGGAUUGGCAUGAGCUGCGCGAUGCUCCCUCCAUCCCCUAUGCAUCAAUUCAAAGCUCACUAGGGAUAUCAAGCCAAUAGUUCACUGCAAUGAGCAGACGAAGCGAAGAGUAGUCAUAACUGUCAUCCAUACAUCUAUGGGCCCACCAGAAGGUUUGGAUAGUCCUAGAAUAUGGGGCUGUACACCGAGACGUGUCAGACAUAGAGACUACGGUGCAGGACGGCGUGGUCUACGUGGAGGACAAGAACUAGUCAAGGAUUAGGAAACUACUUGUAGCAAUUAGAGUAGGACUCUCUAGUCGAAUCCAACUAGUAUUCUUGUAAACAACCAACCUAUAACCCUACCCCCGGCAAUAUAAGGCGAGGUAGGGACCCCCUCCAAACAAGUUCAAUCAAUACAAUCCAAGCAACACACAGGACGUAGGGUAUUACGCAACAUAAGCGGCUCGAAUCUAUCUAAAUCGUGUGUUCGAGUUCACCUUCGAGUUCCUAACAUUGGCGAGCCCCACGCAUUAAACAUUACCUCGGGUACCCCCUCAGUAGGUUGUUGGGUCUAAACACCGACAACUGGCGCACUAGGUCGGAGCUCUCGCUAAAGAUCCACUGGCGAACUCGAUGGCUCAAGUCAUCAUCAAGCCCACCGUUGCGUUCAAAGCGGACGCAAUGUUCAUCUUCGACUUCGGAGUUUGCGUUGAAGAUGGCACUGGAAAUUUCCAUCGCCACAUAGCGCCGGCCCUGGAGUAGAAGCAGUACGACAUCAACCUUCAUCGCCAAGCUUUGGAAGAUUUCGUUGAGAAAUUCAAUGGAAUUUUUGACCUCUUUUGAGGCUUGCGGGACGAGUCUGAGUACAACUCAACUUCUCCCACUAGUCGGAUUGGUUCCCAUGAGCUGGCGCUUAGGCCAUCGUGCGAAUCGGUCGAUACAAGUCGAUUCCUAUUUGGACUCCAAAACUCGAGUACUGCCUACCAAGCUACCCUGUUCUGAUCACAAUCCAACUCAAAUUUGAUCGAGGACUUCUACUAGUACUCGGAUCCAAACAAGCAGACUCCCUUAUCAGGUCCGCAACAAGGCCUAGUUAUCACAUCCACUCCAUAAGGCAGAUUCGUCUACUGGCCUAACAUGAAGCCACAUGCUCUCACCAAGGAUGAUGAGUCAUGCCUUGUCGCCUAUCUCGACACUCUCCCAUACUAGAAGGGAACCCCUCUGUCCCCCAUCUACGAAGAAGACAGCUCUACAGAGGUCAUCACAUCAAGUUCGGGUAGUUUCUCUCCUAUGCGGGAACCCCUCGCCAUCAUUGCUGCACAAGAAAGUGACGGUGAAGAACUGCCAGAAAGGAAUCCACGACGUGGAUGUCACCCAAAUGACGUCUCAUAGGAUGAGCUCACCGCCAACAUAGAAGGAGAAGAAACUGAAGCUCAAAGGAAUCAAUGGCGAGCAAGAAACGCUGCAAGGGUAGAGCAUCGCCGCCGCCUUGCAUCCGACCUACCCAUCAUGAACUUGGAUCACGCGUUUGAAGCAGUUCAAUCGCAAUUACACUAUACCCCUCUCACCACCAUCGCAUCUAUUGACCUGAUUACUCGGGCAAUGCCACAAGACAAGUACAUCAGGCAACUAGGUAAGUUGGCGAAGUGUGCAUACGAGCAACUUGACCAACAAAGUCCGAUACACUCAGUUUGACACACCUCAUCCCAUCAUGGCAGUAGCGGCAGGCAACCAAGUCGCAAUGAAGGUGCCAGACCUAGUCACAAUGAGCGUGCCGAAAAUGAGGCUCCCAGAAUUGAAGGUCCCAGACUGAGUCAAGCCAGAGCAGAGGGUAGUUGGGUGAAACCCUCGGGAGGCCGUGGCCACUGUGGGCCCAUCCAGAGCCUGAACACCCAGUACAUGACCUCCGUGACAAGAUCAACAACAGCCGCAACGCCUGUACAAUCAUUGAAGGGUGCCUCCGUGAGCGCGAACAAGAAGUCAAGUACUAGGGAGAAGAUUCUAAUGGGUUUCCCACCUUCUCAAAAUGAGUACAAAAUCCGCUCCUACCCGACAAGUUUAAACCUCCGGGUAUCACCAAGUAUGAUGGCAAGCAGUACCUAGUCCAAUGGUUGCGGUGCUACUCGUUGUCAAUGCAGGCGGUGGGAGGAAAUGACGACACUAAAGUCAUCUACUUCCCCAUCUGCAUGGAGGUAGUACCACUCACAUGGCUCGAAUCUCUAGAAAGGAACUCCAUCGACACAUGGAGUUACUUGAAGGCGGUAUUCAUAAACAACUUCGCAGGGGCAAUGCAGUGUCCUGGUAUAGGAUUGACUUGUCUCAAGUCAAACAGUAACAAGGUGAGACCUUGCGCAGCUAUCUACACCAUUUCUUCGACAAGAAGGCCACUAUCAUAGAUAUCACAGAGCGGGACACCGUAGAUUGCUUCCAGAACGGUAUCUAUGACCGCUAGAUGUUUCAAGAUUUUUGCAGGUGUUGACGCAAAAUCCUGGCGGUGGUGGAUCCUGCAUCAGCACAUGAGGACCUGGGAGAUCUGCUUAACUCCAGUGCAGAAUCCAAAUCGGCGCGCGUGGUGUGCGCGGGCGUGCCAGUCAGUUUGACCAUUCAACUGACAAGGAGAUGAUAAUUCUCUAGAAGUUCAAUGGAGUCGGCCGAUCGGGCCGAUUUAUAUAAUUUACAAUAACCAUCAGCCAUACGGCCGACAGGAAACACGAUGCUAUUGAGUUGUUGCUCCACCAUAACUAGAGCCACAAGCCGAUGAGAUCUAAACUAACAUCACCACCAAUAUCUCUAGGUGAAACCACAGCGAUGCGCCCGGUAGUUGCAGUCUAGAAAUAUUUAGCAGGACAUUAAUCUGAACCCCGCUAGCCGAUGAUCCAAUCACAAUGGAACUUACUCCCAACAGCACUCGAAGGGGUAACCAAGAUUAAGAUGCAACAGGCUAUUAAAAAUAGAUCUAUCGUCUAUUCCGACAGAAUUAAUAAUAAUUAAUAUGUCGUAAACGGCAAGACGAUAGAACAGAUAAAUAUCAGCCGAUGCAAGCUUAAUCAAGGCGGGAUAACCGGUGAAUACCGUAGAUCGAGACAGAAGCGAUGCGCCGUAAGUCAAAGAUCCAAGAUAUUCGAUAACCGGUAGAUGAAAAUAGACGAAACCACAGCGAUGCGCCCAGUGGUUAAAGCCUAGAACACCUGGUGACGGAACUUUGCAGCUCACCGGAGAUCGAGGUCGAUGCAGCCCAGCUUGCUAGAAGGAACUCGUCGAGAAGCUACAUUACUCCUAAUGCAAUGGCGUGAAGCCGGAAAGGUAAAUAAAAGAUAAAUGUGUUGUAUAUUGAUCGUGUGAUGAUUUUUUACAAUGGCCACGUCCCUUUAUAUUUAUAGGACGGACGUUACAUAAUUGGCAUCUAACCACGCACAAGGCAAGUCACGUACACAAUCUUUUCUAAUAAAAAACUCUAUCUCUAACUAACCCAACUCUAUCUCUAAAAUAUUUUAUUCUAUGAAACAAACUCCCGUACAACCUCCCGUACAUGCACAGAUCAGCAUGCAUAAUUAUUCUGGAAGCCUCCCACGCAUGGCAUGCAAAGUGCACCAGAAUCCAUGUUGUAUAUUCUAAUCAUUUUUAUCCAUACGUCCUGGCCUUUCCUUUAUAUCAUCCUUGCCUCUCCUUGCCGAUCAAUCCAAUGAAGCCGAUUUGGACUCCGUGCCCAUGUGCAUGCAUGCUUGCUUCUUAUUGUUGUACGUGACUCCGAUUAUCUCGUACUCUGAAUUUAUAGGAUUGGUCAAAAUCCGGUGUCAACACAGGCCCCCCAGUUUCGGAGUAUGAAUGCUUCAUGUUCCGAAACUAAUUAUAGAAGUCUGAUACUUGUCUUCAGAGCUAAUGACGUCUGAUUGCAAUAUCCAAAGCCACGUUGACUCCUCUUCAAAUAUAAAGAACACCAUCGGCAUUGCCAGCAGUAGAAACAACAAUUUAGUCUGUUGACACCAAAACUUGGUGCAGUAACCAGCAAGCUUUUGUUGUCAACACAGGCCCCCCAGUUUCGAAGUAUGAAUAUUUCAUGCUUCGAAAUUAAUAUCCAAUAUAUUUUAUAAGCAGCCGAUACUAUCUUGCUUGAACCAAUCAGCCAAAUUUUUUUUAUUGGCCAAGCAAUCAAUCGGCCGAAGCAAUCAGCUGAUGCUUUUUGCCAAGCAGUCAAUCGGCCGGUGGCCGAUGCAUUUUUUUUAAUUAGCCGUACAACUUUCAAUCGGCUGAUGCAAUUUCCAAUCGGCCGAUGCAGUUUUUUUUUUUAAUCAGCUGAUACAGCUUUCAAUCGGCCGAUCCAAUUUUCUAAUCGGCCGAUGCUUUUUUCAGCCGAUACUCUUUGUAGUCAGCGGCCCAUACUUUUAUAUCAGCCGAUACUUUUUUCUAGAGCCAUCACGUGAUCAGCAUGUAAAUUACUAUUUCCGUCGGUUGUCAGGCGAGACUUCUGCAUCGGCCAUUCCAUCGGCUAUUCAAGUCAGCCUUUUUUUUUUUUAAGCCGAUUCACUCCAUGGGCUGUCCUGAGAAUACUUUGGCCACUAGUCUACACGUUGAUAGUCCAGGCAACGAAGGAUUAUUUUUUUUUUAAAGCCGAUUCACUCCAUGGGCUGUCCUGAGAAUACUUUGGCCACUAGUCUACACGUUGAUAGUCCAGGCAACGAAGGAUUAUUUUGAGCCUUGAAAAGGUAUGUACCUUGCAAAAACUUCACCUUCACUGCCUAAUCAUUCAUCGGCUGAAAAAUCUUCCAUCUCUCCCAUCAGCUGUGGGAGAAUAUUAAAUAGGCAGCCGAUGCUUGAGCAGCCGAUUCAACUUCCCUUUUUAUCUAAAUCGGCAGAUGCACUUUUUCAAUUAGCCGAUACCCUUUUCUUUUUAUAUAUCCCAAUCGCCGAUGUAUUUAAUUAGCCGAUGUUUCCCUUAUCUCAAUCGGCCGAUGCAUCUUUUGAACCAGUCAGCCGAUACUUUCCUUAUUUCAAUCGGCCGAUGUAUAUAUACAUAUAUUUUAAUCAGCCGAUACAACUUUUGAUCGGCCGAUCCAAUUUUCAAUCGGCCGAUUUUUUUAUCAAUAAGGAGACGCACGAAUGGCCGAUGCCCCUCUCUUUUCUUUUUCUUCAAUCGGCAAUACCAAUUUUCCGUCGGCCGAUGCCACUUUUAUUUUCUUCCAAUUCCAACUGGCUGACGCUAAUCGGUCGAUGCCUUUCUCUACAAUCGGCCGUUGUAUAUAUAUAUAUUUUUUAACCAAUCCGCCGAUGCUUCUCUUCAAUCGGCCGAUGAACUCGAUACAGCUGCCGAAUAUACUCUUUUUAUCUGAAUAAACAUGUGAGUCUUAUAACCGUGUCCCACCGGGCGUGCCAAAAUGUGUUGACGCAAAAUCCUGGCGGUGGUGGACCCUGCAUCAGCACAUGAGGACCUGGGAGAUCUGCUUAACUCCAGUGCAGAAUCCAAAUCGGCGCGCGUGGUGUGCGCGGACGUGCCAGUCAGUUUGACCAUUCAACUGACAAGGAGAUGAUAGUUAUUGUGAAGUCCGAGGCAACCGGCCGAUCAGGCCGAUAUAAUCUUGGCACAGUAGCGAUAAUGGUGCAACAAAAUAAAUCAUGACAAAUAUAUCGGAUGUGAAGCCGAUUCCAGUACCUUGAUGAAUGUCAGUGAUUCAUCGGCCAUCCAGCCGAUUUAAUAUAAUUUACAAUAAAUAUUGGCCAGACGGCCGAUAGAAAACAGGAUGCUGUUGAGUUGUUGCCCCACCAUAGCUAGAGCCACAAGCCGAUGAGAUCUAAACUAACGUCACCACCAAUAUCUCUAGGUGAAACCACAGCGAUGCGCCCGAUAGUUGCAGUCUAGAAAUAUUUAGCAGGACAUUAAUCUGAACCCCGCUAGCCGAUGAUCCAAUCACAACGGAACUUACUCCCAACAACACUCGAAGGAUGGCCAAGAUCAAGAUGCAACAGGCUAUUAAAAAUAGAUCUAUCGUCUAUUCCGACAGAAUUAAUAAUAAUUAAUAUGUCGUAAAUGGCAAGACGAUAGAACAGAUAAAUAUCAGCCGAUGCAAGCUUAAUCAAGGCGGGAUAACUGGUGAAUACCGUAGAUCGAGACAGAAGCGAUGCGCCGUAAGUCAAAGAUCCAAGAUACUCGAUAACUGGUAGAUGAAACUAGACGAAACCACAGCGAUGCGCCCGGUGGUUAAAGCCUAGAACACCUGGUGACGGAACUUGCAGCUCGCCGGAGAUCGAGGUCGAUGCAGCCCAGCUUGCUAGAAGGAACUCGUCGAGAAGCUACAUUACUCCUAAUGCAAUGGCGUGAAGCCGGAAAGGUAAAUAAAAGAUAAAUGUGUUGUAUAUUGAUAUCCAAUCUCUCAAGAUCAUGAUACAAGCUUGGGCGGAUGAAGAAGACAAAGCGAUCAAGCGGUUCGAGUCUAGUCGUAACAUAGGCCAAAACAAUAACAAUCAGAGUAAUGGCCAAUGCAACAACAAGAACCAUAACGAUCUGCCCAAUAAUGACAACAGAGGCAACUACUUGGGUGGUUAAAAUUGCAAAAGAAAGCCAGACAACACUGUCAUGGCGAUGUCUCAAUCUUCCAAAAAAGACGGCAGGAAUCAAGAAAGGACUUCGUUCAAAGAGCUCCUGAAAAAGCGGUGCCCGUGGCACCAACACUCUAAGCACUCUGCUAUGGAUUGCUAUAGCCUACGCAGAGUCCUGAAAGAUCUACCGUAACCUUCUGGAGCAAAAGACAAGUGCAAGGCUAAAGAAGACGAAGACGAUGACGACAGCGAUAAAUUCUAGAACCUGUCCAACACCGUCAAAGUCAUCUUCGGUGGAACAUUGGGUACUACCACCAAGCAGUCCCAUAAACUAGCCCUCUGGGAGAUUAUGUCCAUUGAACCAGCAAUGCCUACAUUCCUCAAGUGGUUCGAGGUGUCAAUCACCUUCUCCAGGAAGGAUCAGUGGACUAGUUUCUCAGACUUGAGAUGCUACCCUCUUGUCCUGGAUCCAGUAGUCGCAGGCUCUCGACUCACCAAAGUACUCUUCGACGGCGGUAGUGGUCUCAACAUACUCUUCGCGAAGACUUUGAGGAAGAUGGGCCUCGACGUUAACGAUAUGCUCACCCCGACGAACUCUCCAUUCUACAGGAUUGUCCCGGGCAACGCGGCUGUACCCCUUGGUCAGGUGGUUUUGCCAGUUACCUUUGGAACCAAGGAACAUGCUAUCCUCGGAAGACCCACCUUGCACAAAUUCAUGGCCAUCCCGCAUUACGUGUACCUAGUACUCAAAAUGCUGGGACCCAAGGGAGUACUCUCCCUGCGCGGAGACUUGAAGAGAUCAUACGAUUGCGACACAGAAGAUGUGGAGUUAGCAGCGACUACUCAAGGGCCAAAUUCGAUGAUGCAAGUCUUCGCUGCCUCUAAGAAACUAUCCCCAACAAAGCUCAAAAUUCCAGAGAAUAAGUCGGGGGCAACCAAAGUCGAGCCGACAAGUGAAGUUGAUAUCAAAGCCAUUGACCUUGAGACUAGCGAUAGCUCCAAGAUAGCCCUAAUUGGCUCAGGGCUGGACCCCAAAUAGGAAGAUGCGCUCGUCAGCUUCCUCCGGGCCAACCGAGACAUCUUUGCAUGGAAGCCAUCAGAUAUGCCUGGGGUGCCUAGGGAGCUAAUCGAGCACUCACUAAAUGUGGAUCCCAAAGCUAUGCCAAACGACAAGGACUACGCCGAUUCACCCAAGACAGAAGAGAAACAAUCAAAAAAGAGUUGGCCAAACUACUCGCGGCUAACUUCAUAAAAGAAGUCUAUCAUCCAAAGUGGCUGGCCAAUCCUAUCUUGUACCGAAAGAAAAAUAACAACGAGUGGAGGAUAUGUGUCGACUACACGGAUCUCAACAAGCAAUGUCCAAAGGAUCCCUUUAGGCUCCCUAGGAUUGAUCAAGUCAUCAACUCGACGGUUGGAUGUGCUCUACUAUGUUUCCUUAAUUGCUAUUUGGGGUAUCACCAGAUAGCUCUCAAGGAAGAAGACCAAAUCAAAACCGUGUUCAUCACCCCGUAUGGAGCUUUCUACUACACUACAAUGUCCUUCAGGUUGAAGAAUGCAGGCGUCACUUAUCAACGGGCCAUCCAGGAAUGUUUCAAGAAACAACUACACCGCAACGUUGAAGCGUACGUGGAUGACAUGGUCGUAAAGACUAUAAAUCCCGUCGACUUGAUUGCGGAUCUUGAAGAAACUUUUGCAAGAUUGCGAGAGUUCCAGUGGAAGCUGAACCCAACAAAGUGUGUGUUCGGUGUAUCAUCCAGAAAACUACUCGGGUUUAUCAUCAGUCAUCGAGGAAUAGAGGCUAACCCCAAGAAGCUCGCUGCCAUCACCAACUUCCACUCUCCAUCGUGCAUCAAGGAGGCGGAUCUCAAUAGAUUCAUCUCAAGGCUUAGAGAACGGGGACUACCCUUCUUCAAACUAAUCAAGCGGAAAGACAACAUCUAGUGGACCAAGGAGGCGGAACAAGCCCUUCAACAGUUGAAGGACUUCUUAUCAAAGCCACCGGUCCUCCCAGCACCUACUCCCAAUGAAGACUUGCUGCUUCAUAUCACCACGACUACUAAUGUUGUUAGCACCACGAUCGUGGUUGAAAAGCUAGAACCAGGCCAUGUAUACAAAGUACAAAUGCCCAUCUACUUUAUCGGUGAGGUGUUGUCGGAUUCCAAAUCCUGGUAUCCCACCAGUUCAAAAGCUGCUAUAUGCAAUACUACUCACCUCGUAGAAGCUACGACACUAUUUCCAGGAACACAACAACUUCGUCAUCACAGAUUUCCCCUUGGGCGAAAUCCUUCACAAUCGAGAUGCAACAGGAAGAAUCUCCAAGUGGGUGGUUGAACUCAGAGCCCUGAACCUAGAAUUCAAGUGAAGGACUGCCAUCAAGUCGCAAUGACUAGUUGAUUUCAUGGCCGAGUGGUGGGAAAAUCAAAUACCAAAGCCGGCAGAACGCCCAGAGCAUUGGGUCAUAUAUUUUGAUGGGUCUCUCAAACUCGAGGGCGCCCGCGUAGGAGUACUCUUAAUCUCUCCCAAAGGUGAACAACUCAAAUACAUUCUAAAAAAAUCUUCUGGGAGGUGUCCAACAAUGAAGCCGAAUACAAAGCGUUUCUACACGGGCUUCGCUUGGCAGUCUCGCUGGGAAUCAAACAGUUGUUAGUCUACGGCGACUCACUCGUGGUCAUCAAUCAAGUCAACGACGAGUGGGAUCGCCACAAAGACAACAUGGAUCUGUACUGCUUGGAGGUUCACAAACUAGAGAAGAAGUUCUCUGGUCUAGAGUUCCAUCACGUGGCUCGUGAUAACAAUGUAGUUGCAGACAUCUUUUCCAAGCUUGGUUCUACUCGUGCUUAAGUUACAGUUGGGGGUUUCAUCCAUGAACUACACAAGCCAUCCAUAACGGAGCCAGCACCUUCAAAACCACCGAUCGAGGCCACAAUAUGCCAAGUCGGGAGGUUAUGAUGAUUGAUGUAGACUGGAGAAACCCCUUCAUUGACUACAUUAAGGAGCACAAGUUACCUCCAGACAAGACAGAAGCUAAGCAAGUCUCACGGUGCGGCAAAAAUUAUGUUCUAGUUGGGGACAAACUUUAUAGAUGAGGCACAUCAUCAGGAGUACUCAUGAAGUGCGUCUCAUGGCAAGAUAGCAAGGAGAUAUUGGAGGAGAUCCACAAGGGCAUCUGUGGCAACCACGCAUCCUCAAGAAUGAUAGUGGGCAAGGCUUUUAGAGUGGGAUUCUAUUGGCCUACAACUCUCGCUGACGCUGAACAACUAGAUCACCGAUGCCAAGGGUGUCAAUUUUUCACCAAGAAAUAACACGUCCCUGCCUACAAGCUGAUCACCAUACCACCCUCUUGGCCCUUCGCUUGCUAGGGGCUAGACAUGAUUGGCCCUCUGCCUACGGUGCCUGGGGGCUUCAACCAAGUACUCGUGACGAUCGACAAGUUCACCAAGUGGAUUGAGGUAAAGCCAGUGACCUACUCGAAGGUAGAUAGAGUACUCGACUUCCUCGAUGAGAUCAUCCAUCGCUAUGGUUUCCCCAACUACAUCAUCACAUACUUAGGUUCCAAUUUCAACAACCACGAGUUCUGGGAGUACUGCGAGAACAAUAGGAUCGAUGUCCGGUACAUCUCUAUCGCUCAUCCGUGGGCCAAUGGCCAGGUUGAGCACGCCAAUGGGAUGUUACUAGAGGCUCUCAAGAAAAGACUACACAACAUUGGCAACACCAAAGGAGGCAAGUGGCUCAAGGAGCUACCCAACGUCCUCUAGGGGCUUCGCACCCAGCCAUGCAAGCGUACUGGGUACUUACCCUACUUCAUGGUCUAUGGAUCAGAAGCCGUCCUCCCCGCCGACAUCAUGUGGAAAUCUCCAGUAGUCAAGCAGUACGAGGAGGGCGCGGCAGAAGGAACAAGGCGUCUAGACUUAGACAGCCUUGAAGAAGCUCGCUGUGCAGCACUCAUCCAGUCAGCAAGAUACCUUGAAGAAAUUCACCACUAUCAUGAUCGCAACGUCAAAGAACGUUCGUUCAACACAAGCGAGUACAUGGUCCUCAAGCAUAUUCAAGACACUAAGGGAUUGCACAAGCUGAAUUCACCAUGGGAGGGUCAUUUCAUCAUCUCCAAGGUCACUGGAUCUGGGUUGUACAGGCUCCAAACUCUCUCUGGCGAAGAAGUCAACAACUCAUGGAACAUCGAGCACUUGUGUCGAUUCUACCCGUAGUUUACAUACUCAUGUAAAUUGGCUAUCAGUCUUAGUUAUACAAUUACAAUUUAAUAAAGCAGAUUUAUUUCUUGUCGUAAAAUGACUAGUCUCUAACAGAUUGUGACUUACAAAAACAAGAUCACUGAGCUAUUCAGCUCCUCGGGUACUACCACCCAGCUCACAGCUGGUAGUCACAAGCCUGCACAGAAUAUUCUCGAGUUCUUCAACAUGUUGGACAGAACUGUCCACACGCAGCUUGUAAUAACAAGUCAGCAUACAUAUCUUUUGGGUUAUUCAAACUCAUUGGACAAGUAGUGACUCACAAAAGCAAGCUUGCACACAAAAAAAAAGAGCUAGUCAGCUCCUUGGACAAGUCUGUCCAUUGACGGUCUUCGUAGAAGAAGUCGUCAGUAACUUGGAAGUUAUAUAUACUACCCAAGAUCUUAUCUAGACAAGUCUGUCUAGUCGCAACUUGUAAUAACAAGUUUGUAGUUCUGGAUCUUUGGAGCACAACACCCGAACAACCUAGAGAGGUUGCAGAGGUAGGCUCCAGUUGAUGAAGUUCUAAAGAGUCUACUCGCUUAAAGAGGCUGACUAUCCAAAUACCCUAGUACUUGUGCUUCACUGAAAGGGGUUACAUCCUAGAAGUAAUCUACACUGUGUAUCUGAAGAGGCUCACAAGAGUAGCCUUAUGAGCAAAUACUCACGACUACCGUACGAGCAACUAUCAGGGUGGUUUGGGAGAUGCACUAAAAACAAACAAGUCGACAGCAAUAAAAUUUGUGACAAGACUUCAAAUAAUUUACAUUUCAUUCAUGAUAUGUUUAUAUUAUAAUGAUUUCAUGUUUUUUACAUAACGACUACUCAAGGUCUAUCUGACCAGCUACCUCCUUGGCAAUAGGAGCCACCUCAUGCAGGUACUCUUGAAACUGCUCAUCAGAGCAGUCUUGCACAAUCCCCUCCGCAACUGGAGCAAGGUCUGCUUGUGGGUAGAAGUAUUUCACAAUAGCAAGUAGCUACUUCGAGAUGGACUCUGCCAUCUUCUAGAUGUACCUAGUGAUCUUUGCAAGGACUUCCUUGAGUAUCUCUGCUAAAGGGCAGGGAUCCACGCCUUCCAUCGGGGGCUCCACCAUAUCAGCAAUGGGCUGAGCGGAUUCUGAUAGCUCCUUCAGAGCAAGCUUGGUUGCUGCCAACUUAGGGUCUGUUUGGUAGAGCUCCACGUAGCUCCAGAUCCUCAAAAAUAGCUUCGCUCCCAGUUUUUCCAGCCAAACGGUCCAGCUCCGUGAAAUCCAGAUCCGCAAAAAACUCAGAUCUAGCUCCCAGAUCCACUAAAUCCACGGAGCACCUCAGGGGGUGCUCUCAAAACACUGGUUUUGUAACCUCUCGUGGAGUUAUGGAAAUUACCCACCAAUGCCAUCGAUUACACCCCGUAUCGGUACGCUUAUUUUUCUUCUUUCUGCCGCCGUCCCGUUUUUUCCCGUGCGCGAAGAUUCUUCUCCUACGCCGUUCUUCUCCCUGUUUGGCGCGGCCAUUCCUGGCGGGCGCCUGCAGCAUGGCCAUCGGCGAGUUCGUCUCCGUCUACUCCCAGCGCGACAUUGAGCUGGCCCAGCUGGACCGCGACGGCAAGCGCGGCGGUGAGGAGAAGGCGCUCCCGAGCCCCGUCUAGGCCGUCGUCGCGUCCGCGCUCACCUUCUCCAUCGAUGCGCUCGUGCCGCUGCUGGCCGCAGGCUUCAACCACGACUAGAGGCUCCGCAUCGGCGGUGCCAUCACGCUGGCCACUGCCACGCUCACCGCGUUCGGCUGCGUUGGCGCCGUGCUGGGCCGCACCCCCGUCGCAAGGUCCUGCGCGCGGGUGGUGAUCGGCGGCUGGGCCAUCAUGGGAGUCACCUACAGCCUCAUGAGGCUCUUCAAAGCAAGCGGCAUAUGAUCUGAUGAUGUUGACCUCCAUAGAUCAUCCAACAACACACCACACUCUUCUCGUGUGUCGUCGUUGCUUUGCUUUUUAUUAUUUCGUUUCGUACAUGCAUCCAUCUCCUAACCAUACACUAGCUAUAUGAUAGAUGCACACGCGACUCAUAUCGAUGAUGCAUCAUCCAUCCCUAGCUGCUACCUAGCUAGCUAGUUGCAUCUAUGUAUGCUAUCUGCUGCUGUUGAGUAUCGAUCGAAAAUCUCUAUUUCUGGGAAACACCACGUGAAGAAAUGUUUCCCACGUGAAGAGAAAAAAAUAAGAAAAAAAGGAAACCACCAAGGGCAUUAGUGGACAAUCCAACCAAAGAUUCUAUUUCUAGAUCCGGAGGUGUUGUCUCAACCAAACACUUUUCCUCAGCUCCAUGGUGAGAGCAUAGAUCCACGCUGGAGCUGCUCUAUGGUAGAGUUGCUGUUUUUGAGGAUCUGGAGCUGCGUGGAGCUCUGCCAAACAGGCCCUUAGCCUCGCACUCUUGGAGGGUCAUCAUGGCAUUCACCAGAUCGACUUCUCCAUCCAUGCGCAUUUUCCGCUCUUUCUCCAACCGGUGCUCAAGGGUCUCGUACAGAACAGACAGCUUGUCAUAUUGCUCCGUUACUUUGUAGUAUGAGUUCAUCCAAUCUAUAACGCAGCUUUGGAGAUCAUCUUUCUCUUUCUUGAGCGCUACAGAGAACAAAACAAAGAGCAACUCAGAAUCAUCAAGUGCAAAUCAGUACUCAAAGACUAGCGGGGGAUGACAAGUUACCUUCCAACUGAUUCUUCAAUGACUUGUUGCGCCUCCGGAUGUGGUCCUUCUCCUCCGCGGCUUUCUGGACGAGGUUACGGUACUCGGCAGCUUGGCCAUCGUAGUUCAUGAAUAGCCAAGAGGAGUACUGUUGCUCUUUUUCUAGCUCCUAUUCAAGCGCUUGAGCCCACAUGAUGGUGUCCUCAUAGCCUUGGAUCAUAUGUGAAUUCCGGCGAGAGUGCUCGAUCAACUUUUGCAGAAAUAGAGCAAGUACACGUAUAAGUAACGAGUGCCAAUCUCAAGAUGAAGACAAAUGUAGAAGAGAAACAUACCAUUGUGUGUUCGCCUACUCGGCGGUGCAUCUCCAUAACCAUGGCCUCCAUCUCUAUGGUGGUCAAAGGGUCUGCCAGGAGUUGGAUAUCCUCCAAGUUCACCCCUUUAGCUAUCCAAGGUUCCUCAUGCUCUUCAGCAUUUGGUGCACCAAGAGGAACCAGUGCCCGGCUAGUUCAUGGAUCGGCUUCCAAAGAUGCAAGGGAGGUCGCGCCCUGACUAGUCGAUGGUCCCACUUCAGAUGGCGGGAUGGUAGCCAAAUGGUAGCCAAUACUUGUAGAGCACCAACAGCUCCAACCUCCACUUCUAGCUUGGGGCUUACAAGCGUAGCCUCAGUCCCAAAAGUAGUCUCUGUUGCAGCCUUGGUCUCCGCCUUUGGCUCGAGGGCUUCCAAUAUAGCCACCACAGCAGAAGAAGUCACCACGACGGGCUCGGCUACUGGUAACUUGGGAGCUGGCACUACAACGAUGUUAAGUGUUGCAAUAACAUCAUGCAUAAGCACAACGACUAGGGAUACAACACCUAGAGCUAUUUCUGGUGCCGGCUGCUCUAUUGGCGGUGAAAUUAAAGGCGCCGGGAUGAGUUCUUGGGCUGAUUGGCUGCUGCCAUCAGCUUCAGACUUUGGGCAUGGACCUCCAAUGUCCACGCUGGCAAAUUUCCUAAAAGAGACAAGCGUCAAGGUACAAUACAAGGCACAGACAGGUAACAAUCAGUACUCGAGUACUUACUUUGCACAUCGCCUUAUCUUCAAGGAGGGCUCUCCCCCCAGGCACAGGGACUUGACGGUGGGGGGCGGCUUCUUUGGCGUGGCUGCUGGAUCGUAGCUUGAUCCUUGCCAGCCUUAGCCGUCGUCUCCACCUCUUGGGUAGUCCAUGCAUUGGCGGGGUUGGCCCUAGUGAUAGGAGGUUCCUCAUCAUCUUCCAACUCAAGGACCUCCUUGACCGCCGGUAGCUCCUGCUGCACAACUUUGGUAGUCGUCUCCUCUGCCUCUGUCUCCUCCUCGACUACCUGCAAUCCUCCAAAUGUCAUAACUAAGCAGACAUGGGGGUAAGGGAAACAACUUACAAGUACACAAUCAUCAGGAUCUUGUCCUUCUUCAAAUGUGAUUACCAGAGGUGGGACUUCAUCGGUGGUGGGCGGCUUCUUCGCCACACAUUUCACGGUGAUAGUGUGCCUCGUCUUCGGUGGUGGCGCUAGUCCGACUUCCAAGUCAUCUCUAGCUUCUCACUUGGAUGUCCCAGAAGAUGACCCCACCAUGUCUGUUGGUCAGGGCUUGACAACAUACUUCUCCGCAGCCUUUGAAUCAGAGCUGUUGAAUGAAGAAAAUCCUUCUGACUCCUCUUCCUACUCCUCUUCAAUCGCUUUCAGUACAGCUGCAAUUGUUUGUACACGUGGAGCAGUGUCAAAGCCAUCCGACCCGGGUGGAGGAGGGGUGAAGCAAAAUAAGUGAAGUUCUUCCUGCAAAAGUAGACAAGUCAGUACUUUGACAAGUAUCAAAAUUAGUACUCGGGGACUAAGGCCACGGGUACUUACACUAUUUGGCAGGUUGACAGCGCAAUGCUCUCGCAUGAUCGUCGGGAUCACCCUAGCGUGCUUGAAGAGGCGCCUCUAUCGCGCCAUCACCUCAUCCACGGACAAGUCAUCCGACAUCAUCCGUGAUGGGUCAUUCGGGCCCGAGUAAUCAUAACCCCAGGUGCAGCACAGCUGAAGGGGUUAGACUUGCCUCCUCAUGAAACUGAAGGCCACGACUAUCCCAGUUAGUCCUGCCUUCUUGAGCGUAGUGAUCUUCUCCAGCAGCUCUGGUAGCUGAAAGCUAUCCGCAUGGCUCGGCUUGUCCAACCAGCGAUUGUUCCAGACUAGUCGGUGGCCGGUCAUCUUGAGUAGUCGGGGCUCAUGAUUCCCAAUGUAGAAUCACCGCUCCUUCCACCCAGAGUAGGAGUCUAUCAGUUCAUAAUGCAAGUACAAGCCUUUCACUUGUUCCCACGGUUGGAUUCAUGCCUCCCCCCAUGACUACUUCUGUAUGGUCCAUUCUAGGCUGGGACUUCACUAUGAAGAACUUCCAAAAGAGCUGGCAGUGUGGCUGAAAUCCAAGAAAGGCCUUGCACAAAUGCACAAAGAUGGCUACGUGCAGAAUCGAGUUGGGGUUGAGGUGGAAUAAAUCCAACUUGUGGUAACUCAGUAGCCCACGGAAGAAAUCAGAUGUCGGGAGAGCCAAACCUCGCUCAAUGAAGUGUGCAAAGAUAACUGUCUCAUGGGUGUAGCUCUCCAUAGGCCACGGGUUGCCAUAGGCUACCCUCCAGGUGAUGAAGUCCUGCUCCUGGAGAAGAUUGGCAUCCACCACUGCCUGGAUGUCCGCCUCCUUCAUCUCGAACUUCUUACAGGCGCAGGCUUGAUUUGGCGGAGCCAUCUGGUCUGUCUUGCCAUACUUGGGCACCAGCAACUGAAUCUCCUUCUUCUUCUUAGCCUUCCUCUUCUUGCUCUCUACUACCUUGCUGGAGGUCGCUUUCUUUCCAUUCGUGUUAUCACGAGGGUCUUCUUGCGCAUACACUCGGGGGCUAAACGGUGGGGGACGGUGGCGCUCAAGCUCAAAAUUAGGUGAGUGGCAGCGCUAGGGAUACAGUAUGGAAGAUGAACGAGCAGAAUGGCUGGGGUGAAAUGGAAGGGAUAAAUUGCUCCAUUAUUUAUAACCGCAGCACAAUUAAAACAGAGGUGAGAUUAACAAGAAUAUUCCAUUUUUAAAUGCCCGUAGUUAUCGCUUGACAGUUUUCAAUUUUUUUGGAAAGAGAUAAGGUUACUGUUGGCGAACGAUCACGUUGACUAGUGGUUGACCCUUAUACCCAAAACUAAUCGUGUAACAGCUCGAGGGCUACAUGCCCAUCAGCUAAAAAGUUUUUUCUUUUGGGUUUUAAGGUAAAGGAGAUGUGAAAUUACAGGAUUGACCCUCAGCCUGAUUCUUCAAUUCAACCUAAGGCUUGGGGGCUACUCCAUAUGGAGUGUGAUUUUCAUCGCACUUUCAUAUAAGAUUCAACAUUAAAGAUUUGAGACCAAGUUAAAUAAGGCUUGAGCACAUUCUAGCUGCAUGGCAGUACCCGUGUUCCUUCGAAGACUCAAUCCGAUAGAGUACUCAAAAGAGCACCACAAACUAGUCAGAGACAUCUAUAGAAGUACUCGGGACUGCUACAUUUGACUAAAAAGUACUCGGGGGCUUGUCAUCCAUACCUCUAUAGGCCCACCAGAAGGUUUGACAGUCCUACAAUACGAGGUUGUACACCGAGACAUGUCAGACAUGGAGACUACGGUGCAGGACGGCGUGGUCUACGUGAUGGACAAGAACUAGUCGAGGAUUAGAAAACUACUCGUAGCAAUUAGAGUAGGACUCUCUAGUCAAAUUUGACUAGUAUUCUUGUAAACAACCGACAUGUAACCCUUCCCCGGCAAUAUAAGGUGAGGCAGGGAUCCUUCAAACAAGUUCAAUCAAUACAAUCCAACCAAUACAUAGGAAGUAGAUUAUUAUACGAUAUAAGCAGCUCAAACCUGUCUAAAUUGUGUGUUCGAGUUCACCUUUGAGUUCUUGAUCUCAACGUGCCCCACGCAUAAAACACUACCUCGGGUACCCCCUCAGUAGGUUGCCAGGUCUAAACACUGACAAUAACUAGUGAGGCACACUGGGUCGAUCUCAAGUAGGUUGCAAAACCCUCAGAAGCUGUUGUAGAUGUGUUUUUCCGUCCAAUGUUCCGAAGGAUAGUCCUAUACCGCAAUGUACGCCAACCACUCCCUUUCCCGGAAGAUACAAUUCGACGUCUCUUUCCGGCGUUCCAGCUCCAGCAUGAUGUUGUCCUGGAUGGGUGAGGCGCUGGGCGGUGGAGAACGCCUUCCCGGCAAGGAGGGUGGCGACGGGGAGAGUGGCAGCGAGUCAACAGGCACCUUUCUGCGGCUCGAGUGGACAUGGAUGUCCACAGAUCUGGGGAUGAGUGGUGGUGGAGUAGCAGCGGCCGCCAGGGCCUCCGGUUGAGGUGAGCUUGGUGAGCAGGGAAAAACAAUACCCGCCUUCAGAGCCGACACAGGAGUGGCGACACCACAGGGGAGCUCGAAAUCCGACAUCAUGGAGCUCGAGGAGGCCAGCAUGGCAAGUGGGUCAAACGCCGCAGGGAGUGCAAUGUGCAUGGGCGUAGGUGGUGGUGGGGUUGUUGUUGGUGGCGGCGGCAAGGUGAAGCGAGGCGUGUAUGAAACUGCGUGGAUGGCGAGGCGGAUGGUGGGGUUGGGGACGGUGGGGCAAUGAUGCCAGGGGAUGAACACCCUAGCUAUCGGCAUCUUGCACUCGCGAAACCGGUGGCCGCUGCCGCGGCAGUUUCGGAAGCGGAUAGGGUCACGGCAGGAGCACACUUGAUGGUUGGUGGUGAGGCAGCAAAAGCAGCCGGUAGUGGUGGUAAUGGGAGGGUUGCGGCGCGCUAGGGUUUUCUAUGGUUUUGCUGGGGUUAGGAGAGCCUGGAAGUACGGGGUGUUGGGUGGUUGGGUAGCAUUGAGUGUCGUUGUGCCUGUCUAGCUGGGAGGGGGCGUGCUGGUAGCAGGUCGACACACAUUCGCUGCCUCGGGAGGGGGCACAACGCGAGCGCAGGCAGCUGAGCUGUGCAAAUCCGUAGAGAUCUUUCGUUUUGAACCGUUUGCAAGAGUAAAACCAAAGCUGCCACCUCAAGCCGGACACUUCCCCGUGUUGGAAAAUGUAGCAGCAUUGAAGCUUGUUUCUUCAGAUUGGUGCGGAGUAACUGAUGGUUGGUGAGGGCCCAUGAUCCCGUCCUCUAACGCUCCGGCAGCCCUCUCCACCGUCGCCAUGGACGGGUGAAGCCAAAGCUUAGAGGCGCCCAUGCACAGAGGACUCCGAACGAGGAGAGCGUUUGCCACAUUCCGCUAGACCGAAUGCGCAUGACGUACAGGCGACCCGGAUGAAUGGUGAGGAGGAAAUUGAGCAUGUACUGCACAAAAGAGGAAUCGUAGUGCGGAGCAAUGGUUGCAGGGGUGAUCCAGAUGAAGAUGGGAGGGGUGGGUGCGAUUUCACCUGGGACGACGGUGGUGUGGAAGUCAAGGAGGAAACGAGCUCGAAGUUGUUCUCCAGGCGUGGUUAGGGCUGCGUUCCUCAGUGGCGCGCCGCCACCUCUCCAGGCCCAAAAACGGGUCCAAGCAUGCGGCGCUGGUGGAGGAGCAGGAUGUGGUGCUGGUGGUGUGUUUUGGCUGUCUAUCACUGGGCAGGGGUCGACAGCGGUGAGGUCAGGGGUCCGGCUCGUCGUCACCCAGGCGCUCACAAGACGGGAGCGCCAUCCUUGCUGUGCCCCCCUCACCAACGGCUUCGCGGAGGAGAAGAUUGUCAGCUUGCCUACUCCAGACAAAAAUAAGUCCCUCAAUGACAUCUCUCAAACAAACUGUCAAACAGAUACAAGUAAACUUUCAGUUAGAAUGAUUUCUAUAGUGCUGUCAUCUUCUCUAAAGAAUAUAUAGAUGCAUGAGGGUACAGUUCAACAUUGUGCUUAAUUAUGAUUUUUACCUUGUGCUUCACACAACACUGUUUCUAUAUGCCUUAGAUAAAUUCAUGAUGCGCCGACACCUAUGAGGAUCUUAUGCCUUGGUCCGUACCAUCCCAUUUGCGCGAGUGGUCUGCUAGCACCUAUACAGCUCUUUUUUUUCCUAGCUAGCCCAUCAUCAUAUAAGCUCAAACCAUAACCAGACUAUUAAGGGGCACAAAACCGAACAUAUCAAAACCCAUCCAUUAUAGGACUUUGAACAUGACAUUUUGCACUAGUUGAUGUUUGACUCUAUCCUACCUAUGCGAUGAGAUCUAAGAGAUUAACUCCAUUGUCAUCCUUCCAUCUUCACCUUCAGAGAAUCCACUUUUGAUGAGCUACGCUUGGAUGCUUUUUUCUUUCCUUUUUUCAUUUAAGAUGCACAAUGUUUCCAGUGAAAAGAUGGCACAGGGAAUAUGAAACCAAAAUUGUAUAGUGAUAAUCACAGAUCGAACUGAAGCAUUUCAGAUCCAUGAAACUUCAAAGAGUGACAGUGAAGUUUUCGGAGAUUUGUACUUGAGAAAAUGGCCUAAAUCUUAGAAUUGAUACUGCUGUGUUUUGAAAAGAAUCAUCUUUUUACGCAUGCCCUUAUCAUGAGUGGCGGCACUAGAACUGUGUACCGUGAAUAAAAACAGAGAGCAUUGCAAGAUUGUACGAUCAUUGACACCGAGAGGAGGAUUGCUACCAUGUGACUUUGAUGGGUAGAUUCCAUGACGAAUUGCAUAUAGCCAUGCUUUGGCAGGAUGAUGUUUCCCUUAGCAUCGAGCAUAUGUUGUAUAUCAAACUAGCGAUAUAUCGUUCUGUCAAAGGAUCCUAACGGAUAGUUGUGUGGCGUGGCGCCAUAGUAGUAGUGAUGGCCACCAGUGCAUCUCUCUUGACUUUGUCCAUUUACCCUUAUUUUUUUAAAAAAAGAGAAAGAUAAUGGAGAUAUGGUUUUCUUAUUGGUAAGAUAUGCAUAAUGUACGAAAUGCAGAACGCAUGGAAUGAGGUGUCUUUUGGAGGCAUCAGCAAUUCAAUAUGACUAAUGAUAUUGUUGAAUAUAACAAGUAUAUGGCAUGUCCCUUCGGCAUGUUUAUGGUUUCCACUGACCCGUGAAAAUUUUAAAUCCCCUGUAAAAGUCCAGUUACAAUAAUCUGGAACUGAAUACUAUAAAGCAAAUUAACGUAGUAGGUCCCUCACAAGCACCAUAAAUAAACCAUAACAAUCUCCAGUAGCACAGGUAGUAACUAGCAUAAAACACAAAAAGGUUGUAUGUUGAUGACGGACCCUAGGGCUAGAGGAACUCAUGGCAAUUUGGAUUGGAUCCAUAUAUGGGCUAUGCAGAUAAUGAUCAAUGAGUAACUGAUGACCUGAUUUUCUUCAAUAAGGGAAAUUUUAUUGAAUCCAAGGUUUACAUCAAUCUGAUACAAAUUCCAUGAACCAUAUUCUUAGCCUCUGAAUUACCAGGAUACACACAUCCAAAAGAAAGAAAAAAGAAAGAAGAAUCAGGGCGCUAAUGAUAGACCGCCACCCAUAUGCCUAGAUAAAAAGAACUCCUUGACCAUCUGAGCCAGGUGCUGCGGCCCCACUGCAACCAAGCUCUGUGAAGCUGCCCAUUUCUGUAAUAUAACACAUGAGCAAAAGCGAAUGGAUAAUUGAGAAGAUAACCUGCAACGGAGAAGGGUUAAAAAUCGAAGACCUGAUGGGUGUCCAAUGCGGCAGCCCAAUACUGGAUGUAAGGAAAACAGUAGACCUGUCCUAAGAGAAGAAGGGGUGAAUUAGAAUAAUUUAAAACUACUUUUAGGGCAUCUAGGAGAUUAAACUUGAUCAAGAUAAACCUAAAAAUACCUAUCUGAUGUACAACUAAGUGUUCACGUUGGAGCAUCCACCACGGAGAUAUCGCUUCGAUCAGGCAAGUAUCGCUUCGAUUGCUUCAAAAGAAUGAUGAGAAGUAGAAAUUUAAUCAUUACAAGUACAUGUCGUGCUUAUUUAACUCAGUUUCCAUGGUAACCAAAAGGAUAUGCUUGUUUUUCCUUUACAGGUAUUGGCCAUUUAGGCUUGUGCUCUCAUAGUUAUAUUCCCCCUGCUCAAAAUCAGACACAAUCCAAAACCAACAAGGAGUGGCAAUUCAAAAUCCACAUCUCACUGAAAAAUGGUGGAAAGGUCAGGGUUACAUUUGUCCAUUUCCAUUCAAAGACAUGGACUAGUCAUUCCUGACCUUUUUCUGCCCUGCUAGAGGCUAUUGCCGUUAGCCGCUAAACAAAACUUCUCACAUAUCCUUGUUGAGAGCUAUGUAUGAGGGAUUAUGCGUGUAGUUGCUGCCGAUGUGUGGUGGGGAUUCUCACCAGUGGCGGACCUAGAAUUUUACCACAGGGUAUGCCGAAAAAAAUCUUAUGCAAUUUGAUAAAACCAUUUAUAAUUUGGUAAAACUAUAUUCUAAUUUGGUAAACCACAUGCACUAAAUAACAUGGUAAGUCUUAAAUUCAAAGAUUAAGUUAGAACCAAUAACAAAUCACAAUAUAAAUAGUUCAAAUGAAAUACCAAUAGUUCGAAAUAUAGUAUAAAAGAAACUUACAAUAUUACUUAUCUGCUUUGUUUACCCGCCACUUUUUGAAUGACAUGAAUGUCUUGAUUAUAUCAUCUUCCUUCACUCGGAAGAAAAUAUCCCGCUCAAUGAAUGUGACUAGACAAUCGUCCAAAAUACUAUCACCUAGCUUAUUCCUUGACUUUGUUUUCACUUUAACCAAUGCAGAAAAUACCCUUUAAGAAUUUAAGAAUGUUGAUGAAUUGAUGGUCCGUUCAAUAAACUCACGAACUGAAAUAAAAAAGCACUCAUACAUACAUAAAUAAAAAUAUUUAAGAACAUAAGUUUUUUUAAAUAAGAAAAAAAUAGAAGAUAGAUUAAUCUUAAACAUCCAUCGCCCGUCGGAACUCUCGGACCAAUAAACAAAGUGACGGAGAUCGUCUGAUAUGUGGCUUCUUGAUUGAUUCGUGGAUCCUGUACCACCUGCAGGCAGAUGGCGGAGAGGCGGAGGAGCUACUCUUGCUCUCGGCCGUGGAGACUAGCAAUGGUGGCGGCGGCGCACACACCGCGGCAGAGGAGUCAUAGCUGAAUCGGGUCGUUGACUCGUCGAGGUGGAGGCGCGCAGCCGAAUCGUCGGGGUCGAGCGUCGCCACAUCAGGUCGUAUACCAGGUAAACUAAUCGGUCGGGUUAUAGCUGGGCCCCAGGGUAUGUCGUGGCCCACCCGGCAUACCCUGUAGGUCCGUCCCUGAUUCUCACAGCCUCGACACCCUCUCCGCCAUCGCCGCCGUCUUCUUGAUCUCUCUAAGCUGAAUCGAACUUUGCCAGCAAACAAUGUUGAUGUUUUUGGCUGUGUGCUUUGCGAGGGCAGGGUGUGUGAUGCCCUUUUAUAGUGAUCAUCCGAUAGAGCUGUGCUUGCUCGAUAUAUAUAUAUAUAUAUAUAUAUAUAUAUAUAUAUAUAUAUAUAUAUAUAUAUAUAUAUAUAUAUAUAUAUAUAUAUAUAUAUAUAUCUCUCUCUCUCUCUCUCUCUCUCUCUCUCUCUCUCUCUCUCUCUCUCUCUCUCUCUCUCUCUCUCUCUCUCUAUAUAUAUAUAUAUAUAUAUAUAUAUAUAUAUAUAUAUAUAUAUAUAUAUAUAUAUAUAUAUAUAUAUAUAUAGAGAGAGAGAGAGAGAGAGUUGUAGAUAAUGAGCAUAAGAGAGAGAGUCAUAAUACUGUCUCUUUCGUUUCUUUUUCUUUAAAUUCUCAAAGUGAUUUUUUUUAUUUCGGAGGUAAAAUUAUUAUGCCAUAAUGGACCGUAGGGUUCAGGGUUAUAGGGCAUGUUGCUCGUGGAUUUAACUGGCUAAUUUUUCAUAUGGCAAUUGUUCGUCGACUUAAUUAGCUAAUCUUGUAUUGUGUGCAUGUGUAUUGACGGUACUGAAGCUAGGAAUUAUGGACAAGCUAAGGUGAGGCAAGGAUUAAGCUGUAAAAAUCAAUUUUAAAGCUAAUAAGGUCCUUGAAAUAUAGGGUGAUGAAAUGCAAAUAUUGAAACCAUGUGGUGGUAAAUUGCAAUUCAAUUCAUCGCUCUUUGUGUUUUGUUUUCUUGGCUCACUUUUAAUCAAUUUGUAUAUAUAUCACUAAAAGAAAAUGUUCAUAUUUUAGAUUAAUGAGAGACCAAGUUGACAUGUGCCUUGGUCUAUUUGUGAUGAGUGAUUGACUGGAUGAUUUGAGGCUUUACCGGUUGAGUCCAUAUUUCAUAUGUGCAUAUUUAUACUGACGGCUACCCGAAGGUGUUGUGUUGAGUGCGUCGUGGUGUGGUGUGUGUAAAACAUAUCUUGUGUGUUGUGUCUCUUGGCUUGUGAUGUGCAGGUGUAGGAUGAGACAUGGCGGUCGACAGCAUGAGGUGAAGGUGAAGCGAAAGGUUCAUGCCGAUGUACUAGGGCUGUGAAGGGUGGACGCGAGAAGGCUUGGACCGAGGGACCCGAGGAAUCCAAGCGGAGUCAUGGGCGAUUCAAAUGGUUCAUGGAAGAGCAAGAGUACACGAACGGUGAUAGAGACGGCGUCGGUCGAGUCAAGCAGGACGGAGGCAGGUCUAGUAGGCGGCCCGGAAGCCGGGAGCGAAAGACUUAGAGGAGUCGAAGGCUUGGCGGAGGCUGGACACACGUCAACAUCGGUGAGUCACGCCUUGCAAGGCGUGCGAGAGGGUUUGACCGGUUUGGCCGCAAAACCGGGGGAAGUGUCCGGUGCAGCUGGACGGCGUCGAGUCAGAGGAUGCAUGGCACUAUCACGAAACUUGCAUCGAGGCGAAGCGAAGUCGUGAAGGCGUCGGGUCCGUCCGAUGUACGAGGAAAAAGUUGGAUGAUUUUACCCCUGGGAAUAUUCGAGUUGUGUGCUUCAUGUAAGGGCAUUCUGACCAUUUUCCGGAUGCCUAUAUAUAUGCGGAGAGGGCUGUUGGGCAGCCACAACUUUUUGGGGGGUUUUGGUGGUGGGCUUCUCAUUUAUUUGUGAGAGCCUUUGGGUGUGAGAGAGGGAGGGAGAGGAGUGGAUCUUUGAUUUGAUCUUUUUGCCAUCUUAGCUUUGUUGGUGCCUAAGAGUGGCUUGUAACUGGACAUGGUGAAAGAAUCCACGAAUCAAUUUCGUGCUCAUUGCUUCUCCUUAUCAAGAUCUGAAAGUUAUCUUUUUUCCUAUUUUCGGAGCAUUUUUGGAUGAGUUUUCGGAUCUCGUGAUUGGCAACGAUUUGGGUUUUUUUUUGAGCAAAUCGGUGCUAGGACAUGUACAAGAACAUCUAGAAUGACCCCUAGCAAAUCCAUGCACGAGCAUCUCGGAUUUUGAGAUUUCCAAAAAAUUCCCACUCUUGUGUUCUUGGACAAAUCCGCAAAAUCGAAGGUGAAAUCUUGAUCUUUUUGGGAAGAUCAUUCGAGCAAAGAUUCCCCACAUGUAUUUUCAUCUAUGGCUAUGAUCUUGUUGGAUUUGGACCACAUUUGAUUUGUAUUUCAAGAUGGGAUCUUUGAGCUUGUUCUUGAGUUCUUCUCCUUUUUCUAGCUUCUUCAAAAAUCAUGAAUCUAGUGAUAAAUGCAUGGGAUUUUUGAAGUGAGCCUUUGCGAAUAGCCUUGUAUGUUGUUGUGAGUCUAUGGUUCAAAUUUCGUGAUUUUUGGAGGUCGUUAGAUCGAGUUUCGGAUUUUUCCGACUUCUUCAUGCAGGCUGUUUUUGGAGCUGCGGAAUAUUCCGAAGAAUUUUCCGGAAAAUUCCAUAGGUUUCCGAAGAGUUUUCCGGAAAAUUCCAUAGGUGCGGAAAAUUCCGAAGAGUUUUCCGGAAAUUUUGUAGGUGCGGAUUCUCCGGAAGUUGCGUAAUAUUCCGAAGAGUUCUGCGGAGUUUCCGUACUUUUGUGUUGGUUUUUGAGGGAACCUAUCGGGGAUAGAUCCUCAGUACCCACAAGGAAGGAAGAAGGUGGAUUCCUACAAGAAUUCCUCUAUAAUCCUACUAGGACUCAUACCAUGUAAUCCUACUAGGACUCCUCUUUGUAACCGACUAGUUAUCCCACCCCCUGAAGUAUAUAAAGGAGGGCAGGGUACCUAGAUCGGCGGAGACAACAAAGGACCAAAUCCUCAUACCUCACAUUCCAAGCGCAGGGCGCAAUAUACAACAUCUCAAACAGGACGUAGGGUAUUACACUACUCUGGCAGCCCCAACAUUUAUAAAUCUGUGUCUUGUGUCCUCGCUUUUACCUUCAAGUUCUAGGUUCGGCGAUUCUCCACCAACCAAUCUACUACCUUGGGUACCCCUUCGGUAGGUUACCGGUAUAAAACACUGACAUCUGGCGCGCAAGGUAGGGGUGAUCCUCAAGAUCAUUGAGCGAGCUUGAAGGACCUCAUCAUCAAGAUCAAUCUCCUUAGUGCAGCACAGAACCCAAAGCUAAUUCCGUGUUGCGGGCGGGCGAUGCGUCGAUUUUUUGCGGCGGCGUCACGCCGAUACGGAGUCGAUGCGCUCUGUGUUCUAGUCGAAAGCAGAACAAGACAGCACCGUCAAGAAGGCAAAUUGCUAUGCGCGGGCAGCACGCGACGAACCAACUUGCAUGCAUAUCGAGGCGGAGGAUAUCCAUCAAUUCCGUAACCGAGUCCGAAGCGGAAACUACUCGUGACUUCGCUGAUCCAUGAAAAGAAGAGAAAAGCCGCGUAAGUAUCGAGACAGGACAGAGCAAUAAUAUGUGGCCGGUUAAAAUUCAGAAAUUCCUGCUGCACGCAAGUUCUACCAUGAAAUUUUAGGCUUUGCUACAUGCACACGAGGGCUACCACGAAGCUUCAAGAUUCCUCGCUGCCUAAGAUGUACAUGAGCGCUACUACACUGACGUCCAGCCACAUCGACUCUCGCCGACAACAGCCUCGACUACUCGUCUCGGCUAGAAACUAGUUGGGAGAAACAUCACACCAUCGACUAUUUCGACCAAUCAUCUCGACUAGAAAACUAGUCGAGGACGGUCUACUUCGACUACUUGUCUUGACUAGAAAACUAGUCAAGGACGGAGACGGACUACUUCGACUAGUCAUCUCAACUAGAAAACUAAUCGAUGGCGGGUUCCACGUGAUCAACAACUAGUCGGAAUCGACUCCGACUAGCUGGCUUCAUCAACAAUCAACAUGGCUUCAUCGACAAUCGUCCACAAAUCAAGCUAAGUCACUUUUCUAAUUAUUUUCCGGCUUGUUUUCCGCAUGCAAGGCAACGCGCUGACUACCUAUUUGUGUACGCCUCUCAACGGGAAUUACCUUACAGAGCUACACUUUGCUAACUAUUCCUGGGGCAUGUUGACCGAUAGACAGGCUUGGUACACCAAAUUACGGAGGCUACGGCCAUGAGUUUGGUGCACUGAUUUAUGGAGGUACUGUCAUGGGUUUGGUACAUUGAACUUUGGAGGCAAUAGCCACAAAUUUGAUGCACUAAAUACUGGAGGCUCACGACGGCUACACCCUAAGGAGGCACAAAUCUUAUGCGCACAACACGUGCUCUACUCGCCGGAGGGCAGCAAACUCUUGGACGAAAUCACGCAGUGUCUUUUGUUGCAAUACCAACUACUCAUUUUUUGUCUUCUCUUAAGGUCACUAAUCUUCUCGAGCAGAACACGCCUUAAUUCGUGAAAGCCUCGGAUCAUAUGUCAUGCCUAAAUGCUAGCACACAUACAUGAGACAGAGAUCUCAGCUGUGCAAACAGCAGUGCCCAUAUGCAUACAAGAGACAAGGAUCUCGCCACGCAGUGGCUAUGGCUAAACAGAGACCGAGAGCCUAAACGCAACAGGAUAACUACUCGGGAGGAAUAUAGCCUAAAUAAGAGCAUGACAAAAAAAUAUUUUAUGUUGAUCACUGAAUAAAUUUAAGUAGUUUUCAAUAUUCGACAAAUAUGCUACAUAAUGUAUGCAUCUUUUCUUUCAGGUCAAGCUUCGACGAGGACGCUCCAGGACGCUAAGCGUAUCUCCAAAGGCACAGCUAGUUCCUUUGUAAUCCUACUAGGACUCAUACCACGUAAUCCUAUUAGGACUCCUCCUUGUAACCGACUAGUUAUCCCACCUCCUGGAGUAUAUAAAGGAGGGUAGGGGUACCUAGAUCGGUAGACACAAUAGAGGACCAAAUCCUCAUACCUCAACACCCAAGUGUAGGGUGCAAUAUACAACACCUCAAACAGGACGUAGGGUAUUACGCUACUCCGGUGGCCCCAACCUGUAUAAAUCCGUGUCUUGUGUCCUCUCUUUUACCUUCAAGUUCUAGGUUCGGCGAUUCCCCACCAACCAAUCUACUACCUUGGGUAACCCUCGAUAGGUUGCUGGUAGAAAACACCGAUAGAACCUGAGCAAUGGUUGGAGAUGGGGCCGCACGUGAGGCCUGAGUGGAGCCACGGGGGAGGCCAGUGGCGGCCGGAGAUGGGGCCGCAUGCGAGGCCCGAGCGGAGCCGCGGGGGAGGCCGAGCGGUGGCCGGAUAUGGGUGAGUGUGGGAGGCCCGAGCAGAGCCGCGGGGGAGACUGAGCGGCGGAUGAAGAUGGGGCCGCACGCGAGGCCUGAGCGAAGCCACGGGGGAGUUUGAGCGGCGGCUGGAGAUGGGGAGCACAGGAGACCUAGCGGAGCCGUGAGGGAGACCGAGCGGAGCCACGAGGGAGACCGAGCGGCAGCUAUAGAUGGGGGAGCGCGCGAGGCCCGAGCGGAGCCAUGGGGGAGAUCGAGUGGCGGCCGGAGAUGGGGGAGUGCGCGAGGGGAGAGGUGGCCGGGCGUGCCCAGGCAGAGGGGAGGCGGGUUGCGGAGGGGAGGGGAGCGGUGCGGAAUCGGUGGGAUUUUUCCCAAAGUGAUGGGAGGGCCGAUUGUGCGCCGCAAUGCAUUCCUUUGCUGCGGGAAAAAUCGCUGUGUGUGGAAGCGGUCGAGAAUUCCGCCGUUUGGGUGCUUGCUCGAUUAUUUUCACGAGAAUCGGCUGGAGAAGCUGAAACAAACAACCCCCCAAUCUCUUUUUCCAACACUUGUUUUGGUUCUUUCUCGCUUCCGUUAGUCACUAAUUUGGUUCCUAGCACCAUUCCUAGGUCCAUUAGCUCUUGCAUAGCUAAGGGGACUUGAUAUUGCUAGAAGAGGUUUGUGGAUUGGUUUGGGACUUUAGCCGAGGUUCUUUGAAGAAAUUUGAAUCGGCUCCCAUUCACCCCCUUUGGUCGCCCAUUCCGGUCCUUCAAUUACUUAGAUAUUAUUAGGGUAUGUUGUUCGGUUCUUAUCAUGAUAAGUAUUAACAGUGCACCUAAUAAAUAAAGCAACAUAUAAAGUUAUAAACUAUGACAUCAUUAUCACCAUCAGAAAAUAUAUAUAGUCAUGGACGCAUAGUUCUCCAUUCAUGCAUGUGUCCAUGUCCAUUUGUUAAAGUGGUGAGCGUAUCCAGCAUGCAUAGUGGAUAAAGUUUAAAACAAAUUAAAUGGGGCCUAGCAAGAUACAAGAGGAAUAUUGGGAUUUUUUUUAUGCCUGCCACUGCAAAAAAAAAUGGAAUCUCUCCAAAGCUUGAAAGAUUCCCAAGUUUAUGAUAAGGUUUGAAUCUGGCAUUUCUUUAUUUCUAUCUCAAGACCUGGGCCACGUAUAGCAGCAUUGGAAGAUGUUGCAUGUUAAUAAUUAAGUUAGUUGGUUACUCAAGCAAUAUACAAGCAUGAACUAAUUAAUUUUACAAACACCGGCCUGGGUCCUUUAUCUGGCAAAUUCACCAGAGGGGAAGAAGUGGGAUUUUACAUUUUGUGAAGAAAUUAACAAAUAGAUUUAUGGUCUCAGUAUGUUUUAGAUAUACAAAUUAAGAAUUUAUUGUUCAAGUAUUUAGCUAUUAGCUCAAGCAGAUGAUGUGCGUAGUCUAUCGUCAAUUAAUAUAUGCAUGGAUCAACAAUGGAGUCCACAAUUAGUUGACGGUUUGAAUGGCAACACCGUACCAUAUAGAUUACUUGUCACAGCUCACAAACUAGGCAUAUAUCAGAAAAUGAAAGAAUAAGCAAGACUACACCUCCAGCCCCUCUGUCGGCAAAAACAAUAUUGAAAGUGAAGUGCAAAAUAUGCAUGUACACAUGUCUCUAAAAAAGAAGGAAAACUACCCAUCAUGCGGCUUCCCAAAGUUGGAAUGCCUAAUGUUUUGUUCUAUUUUCUUGUGCUUCCAAUCCUAUUGAACCAUAGCCAUGCAUCAAAGGGAAAUAAACUAGUUCUCAUGAAUAAAUUUGUUGCUAGCAGUACAUAUAUCAUUUUCUAUAUAUAUUUAUACUGAGCCAAUAAUUUACUUUAAUAAGACAUAAAAUCUUAAUUAGAGCAAGUCAGUAGGAUCCCAUCUUGGGUAAAUGAAAUAUGUCCCUGACAAACUUUGGCAAUUGUUUCCCAAUUUUGUGUUCGGUGUUAACAACUAGUUCUUCACUAUAUUGAAUUUAUAUAUGAUCCAAUCUAGUUUUACUCAAACAGUAGGUUCCAUUUGUACAAAAUAUAUGUAUGUGUGCCAUCUUAGUGUAUUAUUUAAGCAAAAUCAUAAAAAAUAAAACUAAAACCAAAAUACAUAGUACGAUAUCGAUCCAUGACAAUGCAUGAUAUCCACUACGAAGUUGAAGCAUGGAUUCGAUCAUACAUGCAUGCAUAAAACACGCAAUCAAGUAUAUAUAUGUACAACUCCAACAUCAGUACCCACGCACUGAUUAAACGGUUGUUGCAUGUAAUAGAAUCAAAUCAAACAAAAUUCUUCUAAAAAACACAGUUACAAAAGUCAGAGUUAAAGUUAUUAUAUUCAACAUUAGGGCAUCCACCCUAGCAACCAUACAGGAAUUGGGCUCUCCCAUAGCUCACAAUGUGGCAUCCAACAGGCCACACCUUUGGCUGGGUUGCUCUGAUCUUCACAUUCCAAUGUGGUUCCAGAAUCUUGAAAAUAAAGCCAUAUUAUUCCUACAUAUAAAAAUAUAGUAUAGUCACCAAGUAGCUAGAUGCAUCUCUCUCUCUCUCUCUCUCUCUCUCUCUCUCUCUCUCUCUCUCUCUCUCUCUCUCUCUCUCUCUCUCUCUCUCUCUCUCUCUCUCUCCACACUAUUACCUCACAAGGUUUGAUUGUACGUAUGUUGCAUGCGUGUGAUGCUGCGAUCCGAGACCGAUUUGCAAUCUAUUAUACCAUGCAUGCACAUGUGUCACCUUUAUAUCCAUCUGUCCCUAUAUAUACUAGACCUAUCACGUAAAAUGGCUUUAAUAGUUAGAUUUAUUGUUGCUUUUUCCAGAAAAACAUGUUCUAUAUUUUGAUUAAGAAACAUUUCUACCAAAAUUUGUCGAUGGACGACCUCAUUUUUAACAUUAUAAUCAUGAGAUAAAAUGAUUCAGGCAUAAUAACCUCUGUGGUGACCUUUGUUUGCCUCAAUGGAUUUAAGUUAUAUAGUACCAAACCAAGCAACUCAUCAACAAGUGACUUGUAAUGUAAUUGAGCUAAACUUGUUGGGAAAAUCUAUAUUCUUGAACUUCUGAUGAAACUAUUGCAGCAUUAAUAUAUGUGGAUAUAUGUAAUCACUAUUAUAUAGUCGAUGCAUGAAAACAAUUUAUGUGCUGCUCUAAUCUUUAAUUUAAUUUUUCAAUCUUGAUAGCUUUCAGAUAAAUUGCAUUUAAUGAUCGAACUCAACACUGAGUCACUGAAGUUUGCAAAUGUAACUCCAUGUGAAUGAUCCUUCAACCAAAAAUUGAAUACACACUGGGGCUGCUCUUAGAACAUUGGUCCAGAAACCUGACAAAAAAAAUCAUCUAUUAUUCUAAACUUGUAAGAACUUAUAUUAUCACGAUGUACUAUUAUAAAUUUACAGGACACAAAAUCAAAAUUCAAGAAUAGAGAUACAUAUAACUGGUCGUCUGUAACCAAGUCAUGCUAACAAAUUAGAUCUAUCAACAUAAUGCAUGUGAUGGGAAACAGCAUCAAGAACCAGCUAGCUUAUGUAUAUAUCAACAUUAUUUUUAUUUAAAACAAGCAUAGUGCGUAGCUGAUUAGAACACACAACCAAACACAAGUAGGUUAUGACCAAUAUGAGCAAAUGCAUGCUUUGAAAUCUUGUAUACAUUCAUUGCACAUACCACACAUCAUACAUACAAACAAAACUCUCAUACAUGUAUUGAUAUUCAUAAGCCCGUCGAAAAAGGGCGAUUGAUCAGUACACGCAUGUACUAUUACAAAGUUAGAAAAAAACAUCAAAAAAGAAGAGGAAGGCCAUCUCUCUCGCUCACUAGCUUCUGCAAGGCAUGAAGCUAGCGAGCAGGUAGUUUGCCUUUGUUAUUCCUGUCAGAACUCAGAAGAACAGGACGGGAAAAACCUGCUCUCGACACACACACGCACGCACACACUACCAAACCUUGUACUCUUCGAUCAUGGUCUCUUUAUUUUCCGGGACGCGAAAAACCUGCCCUGCUCUCUAAACCCAGAGCGCGCCGGCGUUCAUGAGCAUGGGCACGAGCUCACCGCCGAGGUGGAGGGACAUGAUCCUGUUGGUGCCACCGACGAGCUUGCCUCCGAUGAAGACGGCAGGGACGGCGGGGCCCCUGCCGCCGAGCAUCUUGAGCAGGGCGCGCUCCAUCUCCUUGCCCCUGGGGUCGCUGUCCAGCUCGUGCACA
This 41398-nucleotide long non-coding RNA is filed under the name Setaria italica (foxtail millet). RNAcentral's name for it is "long non-coding RNA (SITA_LNC002525)". Lineage: Eukaryota; Viridiplantae; Streptophyta; Magnoliopsida; Poales; Poaceae. The record is from RNAcentral.